UUUUAUAAUUUAUAUAUUUAAGGUUAUUAAUAAAUAAAAAAUUUUUAAUUAUAUAAUUUAUUUUAUUGGGGUGAUAAAAAAAUAAAAAUAACUUUUUUUAAUUAUAAACAUAAAUAAGUGAGUGAAUGAUCCUAUUUUAUUGAUUAAAAGAAAAA
Molecule: ribosomal RNA, 155 nt
Filed under: Cybosia mesomella
Lineage: Eukaryota; Metazoa; Arthropoda; Insecta; Lepidoptera; Erebidae
Description: partial large subunit ribosomal RNA
Source: RNAcentral